GGCCUAUCCUCCUAGCCAGUUGUAUCCAGUCCAGGUUGUUUAAGUGCGAGUUAGGGAACCACACAAAAAGUAUCAAAGAACAAAGUAACUAAAAGCCCUUACAAGUUUUCCAAAAGGCCUGGAAAUUGUGUGUAAUUAAAUUCCAACGCUAUAAUAGGGUGCAGAAAUGUGGCCCCAAAGAACGGUAAUAUGACCACAAUCUUCAUGUUCUCAUCUAGUUUAACAUUUUAGUUUCUGGAUCAUUAAGUACAGAAAUUACAUAGGCAAGCAAAUCAGCAAGGCAGAACAAAAAUUCAAGAUUUUUGUUUUAAUCACAGAAAAAGCAUAACUGCUGAAGUGUGAAUAUCUUAAAACAAA
This 357-nucleotide unclassified non-coding RNA is filed under the name Hevea brasiliensis (rubber tree). The record is from RNAcentral. Lineage: Eukaryota; Viridiplantae; Streptophyta; Magnoliopsida; Malpighiales; Euphorbiaceae.